GAUGAACGCUGGCGGCGUGCCUAAUACAUGCAAGUCGAGCGAACAGACGAGGAGCUUGCUCCUCUGACGUUAGCGGCGGACGGGUGAGUAACACGUGGAUAACCUACCUAUAAGACUGGGAUAACUUCGGGAAACCGGAGCUAAUACCGGAUAAUAUUUUGAACCGCAUGGUUCUAUAGUGAAAGACGGUUUUGCUGUCACUUAUAGAUGGAUCCGCGCCGCAUUAGCUAGUUGGUAAGGUAACGGCUUACCAAGGCGACGAUGCGUAGCCGACCUGAGAGGGUGAUCGGCCACACUGGAACUGAGACACGGUCCAGACUCCUACGGGAGGCAGCAGUAGGGAAUCUUCCGCAAUGGGCGAAAGCCUGACGGAGCAACGCCGCGUGAGUGAUGAAGGUCUUCGGAUCGUAAAACUCUGUUAUUAGGGAAGAACAAAUGUGUAAGUAACUAUGCACGUCUUGACGGUACCUAAUCAGAAAGCCACGGCUAACUACGUG
RNAcentral lists this ribosomal RNA (497 nucleotides) under uncultured bacterium. RNAcentral describes it as "partial 16S ribosomal RNA". It matches the Rfam family "Bacterial small subunit ribosomal RNA", at positions 28 to 507 of the family's 1533-position model. The record is from RNAcentral.